GACAGAGGGUGCGAACGUUGUUCGGAAUUACUGGGCGUAAAGCGCGUGUAGGCGGCAGCGCAAGUCGGGCGUGAAAUCCCACGGCUCAACCGUGGAAGUGCACUCGAAACUGCGCAGCUAGAGUCCUGGAGAGGAAGGUGGAAUGCUUGGUGUAGAGGUGAAAUUCGUAGAGAUCGGAAAGAACAUCGGUGGCGAAGGCGGCCGCCUGGGCCAAGACUGACACUGAGGUGCGAAAGCGUGGGGAGCAAACAGG
This 253-nucleotide ribosomal RNA is filed under the name uncultured bacterium. RNAcentral describes it as "partial 16S ribosomal RNA". It matches the Rfam family "Bacterial small subunit ribosomal RNA", at positions 524 to 776 of the family's 1533-position model. The record is from RNAcentral.